This 253-nucleotide ribosomal RNA is filed under the name uncultured bacterium. RNAcentral's name for it is "partial 16S ribosomal RNA". It matches the Rfam family "Bacterial small subunit ribosomal RNA", at positions 524 to 776 of the family's 1533-position model. The record is from RNAcentral.
UACGAAGGGGGCUAGCGUUGCUCGGAAUUACUGGGCGUAAAGCGCACGUAGGCGGCUUUGUAAGUCGGGGGUGAAAUCCUGGAGCUCAACUCCAGAACUGCCUUUGAUACUGAAGAUCUUGAGUUCGGGAGAGGUGAGUGGAACUGCGAGUGUAGAGGUGAAAUUCGUAGAUAUUCGCAAGAACACCAGUGGCGAAGGCGGCUCACUGGCCCGAUACUGACGCUGAGGCACGAAAGCGUGGGGAGCAAACAGG